CUGGAAGGAGAUGCAAGCUCCGGUGAGAAGUGAAACACAAAGGAACCCGGAGGGACUGGAGCUGUGGGCAGGAAGCGACAAUGCAAACCAGCCCCUGAUGAAUGCAGUUUCUCUCUUGUGGGAGAAUAACCCCAAAGCUGAAUUCAAUGGGAGUGAAACACCUGGAGAGCAAUAGCCUUGGGCAGAAAGCACUCGGCGUACCAGCUUGCUGUUUCCAAGUGGAGGAAUGGGUGGUCUUGGCUGGGCCUGCAGCUCUACCAGUUUUUCUUGGGUGAAGUAGCUCCUUGUGAACAUGGAAACCCCAAUAUGCCUGGGAGAGUCACCUUCCAGAGAUGUCGGAAGCAACAUCUACGAGAUGUGAUGAUGCUAGAGACAAAAACCAUCUGGGUAAGUGGAAAUCUGUAGAGACAGAGGCAAAGAGGCACUUUGCAUACUCCAAAAACAGCAGCAUCAAGGGCUUUGCUGAGCUGGCUUCCUGACCGAGUCAGCUGCUCUUUCCGGAGGACCUCUACAUGCUGGUUUGCUUUGGCGAGGAUAUCUGCAGAGCUGUCGCUUGCAGCCAGUCUCCCCAGGGACUUCAUUCUACGGGGGCCAGCACAGCUGUCCCUCUCUGAGCUGAAGUUCAGGCCCAUAUUGUGUCCUGCAGGAGCUGUGCAUGGGCUGCUGCUGCGGGCUGGCCAUGGGCAGGGAGUCAGGCUGGAGGGCAAGAAGCCCUUUGCUGUGGGGCCGGGCACUCCAGGACCAGACCUGGGUGGUGGAGAGGAGGGCUCCCAGGGUCUGCUGGCAGCUCCCAGCUUCCCACGGACUGUCUCUGAAGGAGCUCAGGAAGGAUUGAUGGCACCGGGUGCCUUUCCUAGACCAAAGUCCCAUCACUCAGAAGACGUUAGACAUUGUCUGGCGUGACACUCUGCUCUCUGGCACUGACCGGGGCGGCCUGCUGACUGCAAAUCUGCUGGGUCCACAGGCAAAUUAUCCGCACAUCAGCACAUUUAAGAGAAAUUAAUUUCCCUGCAGGAGCGAAGAAGAAAGUCUCUUCCAAAUCAGAGUCCAGCUCACAGUGUCUGCUAUGAAAUGCGGUGACAAUCUCGUGUGUGCCAUGCAGAGAGGGACCAGCACCGCACCUGGAGACACAGCCAAGCCAGCAGGCAGGAAAAUCACAACAAAACAUGGAAAAAGAGACUCUGGUAGCCUGCCUUUAAAGUUAGUUACAGAGGGCUGGGAGCCCUGAGGGUGUUUGAGGUUUCCCUUUGCAGUCUGUGCAAGGACACAGAAGCUCUGUGAAGAAGCAGUGAUGGGGAGAAAGGGGUCACAGGUGUGUGGGUGAGGAGGGAAGUAUUUAUAAUAAAUCUGCUAUAAUCUAA
Molecule: long non-coding RNA, 1361 nt
Organism: Cygnus atratus (black swan)
Lineage: Eukaryota; Metazoa; Chordata; Aves; Anseriformes; Anatidae
Exons: 2
Source: RefSeq, a predicted model, not a curated record